Molecule: long non-coding RNA, 475 nt
Organism: Gossypium arboreum
Lineage: Eukaryota; Viridiplantae; Streptophyta; Magnoliopsida; Malvales; Malvaceae
Exons: 5
Source: RefSeq, a predicted model, not a curated record
GUAAUAAUGGUCCAGUUCAGUUAAUGGAUUGGUGAAGGUUCAUACUCCAAAUCAUAGAGAAGAAAAGAUGUCUGUAGAGGAGGAAUACUAUAUCAACUUGCAUGUUGGGGACUCCGAGGAACCAAUUUCUGAGGUCGACCGUGGAAAACGAAAGGUUUCAGAAUAACCGAAAUACGAAACUGAAGCAAUUACCAGAGCUCGCGGACUCGUGAAGAUUGGAAGACGAUUGGAGUAUUGUCAACACUAUCAGUUUAUCUUGCUUUGGUAUAUAAAUACUUUUACUUUGUUACAAUGGCAUGUAUAGGUUUUUGGUUAUUUUGUUAUAUGUGUCAUUGAUUAACCAUUGUAAGGGCUUGAAUGAUAUACUUAUUCAUUUUGUAUACGGCCACGAGACAUGGCUCAUUUUGAUAUAGGUUGUAACCUCCUAAUUGUGCAUGUUGGUGUUUAAAUGUUCAUGAGAUGGUUAAACGUGGUA